This 77-nucleotide transfer RNA is filed under the name Borrelia miyamotoi. RNAcentral's name for it is "tRNA-Val". It matches the Rfam family "tRNA". Rfam says of the family: Transfer RNA (tRNA) molecules are approximately 80 nucleotides in length. Their secondary structure includes four short double-helical elements and three loops (D, anti-codon, and T loops). Lineage: Bacteria; Pseudomonadati; Spirochaetota; Spirochaetia; Spirochaetales; Borreliaceae. RNAcentral also lists the same sequence under 2 other names. The record is from RNAcentral.
GGGUUCAUAGCUCAGCUGGUCAGAGCGCCUGCCUUACAAGCAGGAUGUCGGGGGUUCGAAUCCCUCUGAACCCAACA